GCCGCGGUCGCAUAAUCUGGCAUUGCGCCAGCCUUGAGAGCUGGUUCCCUUCGGGGUAUCCCGGUUCAAAUCCGGGCCGCGGCG
RNAcentral lists this transfer RNA (84 nucleotides) under Candidatus Woesearchaeota archaeon. RNAcentral's name for it is "tRNA-Ser". It matches the Rfam family "tRNA". Rfam says of the family: Transfer RNA (tRNA) molecules are approximately 80 nucleotides in length. Their secondary structure includes four short double-helical elements and three loops (D, anti-codon, and T loops). The record is from RNAcentral. Lineage: Archaea; Nanobdellati; Candidatus Woesearchaeota.